Molecule: ribosomal RNA, 253 nt
Filed under: uncultured Acinetobacter sp.
Lineage: Bacteria; Pseudomonadati; Pseudomonadota; Gammaproteobacteria; Moraxellales; Moraxellaceae
Description: partial 16S ribosomal RNA
Rfam family: Bacterial small subunit ribosomal RNA
Source: RNAcentral
UACAUAGGUGGCAAGCGUUAUCCGGAUUUAUUGGGCGUAAAGCGUGCGUAGGCGGCUUUUUAAGUCGGAUGUGAAAUCCCCGAGCUCAACUUGGGAAUUGCAUUCGAUACUGGGAAGCUAGAGUAUGGGAGAGGAUGGUAGAAUUCCAGGUGUAGCGGUGAAAUGCGUAGAGAUCUGGAGGAAUACCGAUGGCGAAGGCAGCCAUCUGGCCUAAUACUGACGCUGAGGUACGAAAGCAUGGGGAGCAAACAGG